CAGCAGCCGCGGUAAUACGUAGGGUGCAAGCGUUAAUCGGAAUUACUGGGCGUAAAGCGUGCGCAGGCGGUUCGCUAAGACAGAGGUGAAAUCCCCGGGCUCAACCUGGGAACUGCCUUUGUGACUGCAAGGCUGGAGUGCGGCAGAGGGGGAUGGAAUUCCGCGUGUAGCAGUGAAAUGCGUAGAUAUGCGGAGGAACACCGAUGGCGAAGGCAAUCCCCUGGGCCUGCACUGACGCUCAUGCACGAAAGCGUGGGGAGCAAACAGGAUUAGAUACCCGCGUAGUCCCUGUCUCUUAUAC
This 301-nucleotide ribosomal RNA is filed under the name uncultured bacterium. RNAcentral's name for it is "partial 16S ribosomal RNA". It matches the Rfam family "Bacterial small subunit ribosomal RNA", at positions 509 to 807 of the family's 1533-position model. The record is from RNAcentral.